Molecule: ribosomal RNA, 1918 nt
Filed under: Triticum aestivum (bread wheat)
Lineage: Eukaryota; Viridiplantae; Streptophyta; Magnoliopsida; Poales; Poaceae
Description: partial small subunit ribosomal RNA
Source: RNAcentral
CCCUCUAGCACGCUCUCGGUGUGGGUAACCAGUGGCGGGGCGUGUUUGGGAUGGGAAAGGUCGCGAGGGUUUAGCUACGUCGGCGGAGGGGAGAGGGAGAGAAGGAGGGGGUUGCGCGGCCGGCGGAGGUGGACGGUAUGGCGCAGGGGAGGGAGAGAAGGAGGGGGUUGCGCGGCCGGCGGAGGUGGACGGUAUGGCGCAGGGGCGACGGCGGUACCGGAGAAGUCCUCCGUGCGGGGAGGUACCACGCUUCGUCGUCCGGUCCUAGACCUACUCCUUCUCCUCUAGGCCCGCGGGGUUGCCACCUACCUAGCUACGCUCCACUGCUGCUCGAGGAGGCCUGCACCCCCCGUCGCUCCGGCCUCUAGGUCAGCCGCGUACGGGUAGUCCCAGCUUCGACGUCGCGAGGCCAGGGGUUCGACGGAGGUCCGAGCGAAGGAGGAGGUAGGAGCCCGUGCCUCCGUUCCAAGAGGCCGCCGCCGCCCUUGGAGGUCCGUCUCUCGCUGGGGAGCAGUUCAUCCCCUAGCUAAACAGGACGUCGAAGAAAGGGGAGAUAUUUCCUCUAAAAAAAAGGAAACGAACUACACAAAGGGAGGAAAGUUAACAUACUAAAAAUCCUACCCGGAAGGAUAGGUAUUCAAACGGAAAUAUGACGUAUAAUCAAGUGAGAAAACCCAUCUAUUGAUUUGAGGACGUUGGAAUGAUUUAGUAACUUCAACAGGAAGGGUUUGGCUCGAAACGAAAUGUUGUUGAACUGACGGACACAUAAACACAUCAAAAGACGUAUAAGUAUGCCGAGACUUACAACAAGGCAAGGAACUAUUUAUGUAGCGAGAUGUCCCAACUAAUUUCUUCAAUUGAGAAGAAGUAUCGUUAAAAAGUUUACGGGACUACCCUGCUGGGAUUUGUACCUAUCAAUUUGAACCAUAUAGUCGAGUUUGUGGACUAACCAUUUUACCUCAAGAUAACCAGGAUUGGCGACAAGAUUUAGGAAGUUUUUCUUUUUUUCACGAUAUGAUUUAUUUGAUAGACGAGAUAAUAAAAAUAAAUAAUCAGAACUAAGGUAGGUACAUAAAUAUCAUGGGACCCAUCGACGUCGUCACCACGAGAAAGAAAGAGAGAGACAUCCCUUGAAGGUCUACCCUAAAUCUGUUCCUUUUCCUCUGGGUACGCUUUAGCUCGCAGGACCACCACGGAGCUGGUUACGCCCAGCUGCCUAUCGUGGCCACUCGCGCCACGAACCACGUCGCUCGACCUAUCCGCCGUCCUCUCCACUGGUACCCACACCGAACCCCUAAAGGCGUACGUAGUUCGCUGCUGCUCACGUAGGUUGCGGUGGUACGACGACCAGGACCCCUUGUUCCAUUUUCUUCCUUAUCUUGUAACCUCUUUUUCCGUCGUCCUGCCUAAGAGAUUCGAAAGAGUUUACAAACUUGUUAAUCUUCUAUCAAUGUUAGUAAAAAGAGAACGGAAUAAUGUAGAACUACAAUUAUCCGAAACCUUCCAUGAUACGCGGGGCAAGUUCCAAAUGUCUUAAAAGUGGUAGGAUAAUGUCAAACAAGACUACUGUAUUAACUGGUCAAGAAGGAACUCAUUUAAUUAUAACACCGACGAUGAGGAAACACGUAACAAUGUAUCUCAAUAUAUUAACACUUCCACACAUGUGUAGUUGUAUUUUAAGGGUGCUAGGAUAAUGUCAAACAAGACUGCUGUUAUAACUCGUCGAGAAUGAACUCAUUUAACACGUCGAGAAGGAACUCAUUUAAUCAUAACGUCAAUGAUUCGGAAACACGUAAGGCUAUGUCGAGAUGAUUUUAUGAUGAAAGAAUACGGGUAAAAUUUGGCUCUGGGCUGAAAUGUAGUAAAGAUAAGAGUAGGUAAGAGGACUUAAAAUCAGGCGAAGUCGUUACGAUACUGG